RNAcentral lists this ribosomal RNA (1264 nucleotides) under Salmonella enterica subsp. enterica serovar Kiambu. RNAcentral describes it as "partial 23S ribosomal RNA". It matches the Rfam family "Bacterial large subunit ribosomal RNA", at positions 1 to 1298 of the family's 2925-position model. Lineage: Bacteria; Pseudomonadati; Pseudomonadota; Gammaproteobacteria; Enterobacterales; Enterobacteriaceae. The record is from RNAcentral.
GGGUUGUGAGGUUAAGCGACUAAGCGUACACGGUGGAUGCCCUGGCAGUCAGAGGCGAUGAAGGACGUGCUAAUCUGCGAUAAGCGCCGGUAAGGUGAUAUGAACCGUUAUAACCGACGAUUUCCGAAUGGGGAAACCCAGUGUGACUCGUCACACUAUCAUUAACUGAAUCCAUAGGUUAAUGAGGCGAACCGGGGGAACUGAAACAUCUAAGUACCCCGAGGAAAAGAAAUCAACCGAGAUUCCCCCAGUAGCGGCGAGCGAACGGGGAGGAGCCCAGAGCCUGAAUCAGCAUGUGUGUUAGUGGAAGCGUCUGGAAAGGCGCGCGAUACAGGGUGACAGCCCCGUACACAAAAGCGCAUGUGCUGUGAGCUCGAUGAGUAGGGCGGGACACGUGGUAUCCUGUCUGAAUAUGGGGGGACCAUCCUCCAAGGCUAAAUACUCCUGACUGACCGAUAGUGAACCAGUACCGUGAGGGAAAGGCGAAAAGAACCCCGGCGAGGGGAGUGAAAAAGAACCUGAAACCGUGUACGUACAAGCAGUGGGAGCACCUUCGGGUGUGACUGCGUACCUUUUGUAUAAUGGGUCAGCGACUUAUAUUCUGUAGCAAGGUUAACCGAAUAGGGGAGCCGUAGGGAAACCGAGUCUUAACCGGGCGUUAAGUUGCAGGGUAUAGACCCGAAACCCGGUGAUCUAGCCAUGGGCAGGUUGAAGGUUGGGUAACACUAACUGGAGGACCGAACCGACUAAUGUUGAAAAAUUAGCGGAUGACCUGUGGCUGGGGGUGAAAGGCCAAUCAAACCGGGAGAUAGCUGGUUCUCCCCGAAAGCUAUUUAGGUAGCGCCUCGUGAAUUCAUCUCCGGGGGUAGAGCACUGUUUCGGCUAGGGGGCCAUCCCGGCUUACCAACCCGAUGCAAACUGCGAAUACCGGAGAAUGUUAUCACGGGAGACACACGGCGGGUGCUAACGUCCGUCGUGAAGAGGGAAACAACCCAGACCGCCAGCUAAGGUCCCAAAGUCAUGGUUAAGUGGGAAACGAUGUGGGAAGGCUCAGACAGCCAGGAUGUUGGCUUAGAAGCAGCCAUCAUUUAAAGAAAGCGUAAUAGCUCACUGGUCGAGUCGGCCUGCGCGGAAGAUGUAACGGGGCUAAACCAUGCACCGAAGCUGCGGCAGCGACACUGUGUGUUGUUGGGUAGGGGAGCGUUCUGUAAGCCUGUGAAGGUGUGCUGUGAGGCAUGCUGGAGGUAUCAGAAGUGCGAAUGCU